GAUAAACGCUGGCGGCGCACAUAAGACAUGCAAGUUGAACGGACUUAAUCGAAAUAUUUAUAUUUUGAAGCGGUUAGUGGCGGACUGGUGAGUAACGCGUAAGGAACCUGCCUAUUAGAGGGGAAUAACAGUGAGAAAUCAUUGCUAAUACCGCAUAUGCCAUAGAUAUCACAUGAUAACAGUGGGAAAGGAGCAAUCCGCUAAUAGAUGGCCUUGCGUCUGAUUAGAUAGUUGGUGGGGUAACGGCCUACCAAGUCGACGAUCAGUAGCCGGACUGAGAGGUUGAACGGCCACAUUGGGACUGAGAUACGGCUCAGACUCCUACGGGAGGCAGCAGACGGGAAUAUUGCGCAAUGGAGGAAACUCUGACGCAGUGACGCAGCGUAUAGGAAGAAGGUUUUCGGAUUGUAAACUAUUGUCGUUAGGGAAGAGAAAGGACAGUACCUAAGGAGGAAGCUCCGGCUAACUACGUG
Molecule: ribosomal RNA, 473 nt
Filed under: uncultured bacterium
Lineage: Bacteria
Description: partial 16S ribosomal RNA
Rfam family: Bacterial small subunit ribosomal RNA
Source: RNAcentral